RNAcentral lists this ribosomal RNA (433 nucleotides) under uncultured bacterium. Its description in RNAcentral is "partial 16S ribosomal RNA". It matches the Rfam family "Bacterial small subunit ribosomal RNA", at positions 29 to 507 of the family's 1533-position model. The record is from RNAcentral.
AGCGAACGCUGGCGGCAGGCCUAACACAUGCAAGUCGAACGGAUCCUUCGGGAUUAGUGGCGGACGGGUGAGUAACACGUGGGAACGUGCCCUUUGGUUCGGAACAACUCAGGGAAACUUGAGCUAAUACCGGAUGUGCCCUUCGGGGGAAAGAUUUAUCGCCAUUGGAGCGGCCCGCGUCUGAUUAGCUAGUUGGUGAGGUAACGGCCCGCCAAGGCGACGAUCAGUAGCUGGUCUGAGAGGAUGAUCAGCCACACUGGGACUGAGACACGGCCCAGACUCCUACGGGAGGCAGCAGUGGGGAAUCUUGCGCAAUGGGCGAAAGCCUGACGCAGCCAUGCCGCGUGAAUGAUGAAGGUCUUAGGAUUGUAAAAUUCUUUCAGCGGGGACGAUAAUGACGGUACCCGCAGAAGAAGCUCCGGCUAACUUCGUG